UACGGAGGGGGCGAGCGUUAUUCGGAAUUAUUGGGCGUAAAGGGCGCGUAGGCGGCUGUACAAGUCAAAGGUGAAAUCCCUCGGCUCAACUGAGGAACUGCCCUUGAAACUGUACGGCUUGAGGCCGGGAGGGGGUAGCGGAAUUCCCAGUGUAGCGGUGAAAUGCGUAGAUAUUGGGAGGAACACCAGUGGCGAAGGCGGCUACCUGGACCGGUUCUGACGCUGAUGCGCGAAAGCGUGGGUAGCAAACAGG
RNAcentral lists this ribosomal RNA (253 nucleotides) under uncultured bacterium. RNAcentral describes it as "partial 16S ribosomal RNA". It matches the Rfam family "Bacterial small subunit ribosomal RNA", at positions 524 to 776 of the family's 1533-position model. The record is from RNAcentral.